GCCCGCCUAGCUCAAUCGGAUAGAGCGUCAGACUCUUACAAGUGGGCAGGGCAUCUGAAGGCUGCGAGUUCGACCCUCGCGGUGGGCU
Molecule: non-coding RNA, 88 nt
Organism: Tephrocybe sp. NHM501043
Lineage: Eukaryota; Fungi; Basidiomycota; Agaricomycetes; Agaricales; Lyophyllaceae
Source: the annotation of a GenBank genome assembly